UUAGGCAAAUCCGGUACUCAUUAAGGCUGAGCUGUGAUGGGGAGAAGACAUUGUGUCUUCGAGUCGUUGAUUUCACACUGCCGAGAAAAGCCUCUAGAUAGAAAAUAGGUGCCCGUACCGCAAACCGACACAGGUAGUCAAGAUGAGAAUUCUAAGGUGAGCGAGCGAACUCUCGUUAAGGAACUCGGCAAAAUGACCCCGUAACUUCGGGAGAAGGGGUGCUCUUUAGGGUUAACGCCCAGAAGAGCCGCAGUGAAUAGGCCCAAGCGACUGUUUAUCAAAAACACAGGUCUCUGCUAAACCGUAAGGUGAUGUAUAGGGGCUGACGCCUGCCCGGUGCUGGAAGGUUAAGAGGAGUGGUUAGCUUCUGCGAAGCUACGAAUCGAAGCCCCAGUAAACGGCGGCCGUAACUAUAACGGUCCUAAGGUAGCGAAAUUCCUUGUCGGGUAAGUUCCGACCCGCACGAAAGGCGUAACGAUUUGGGCACUGUCUCAACGAGAGACUCGGUGAAAUCAUAGU
Molecule: ribosomal RNA, 519 nt
Filed under: Staphylococcus aureus
Lineage: Bacteria; Bacillati; Bacillota; Bacilli; Caryophanales; Staphylococcaceae
Description: partial 23S ribosomal RNA
Rfam family: Bacterial large subunit ribosomal RNA
Source: RNAcentral